Molecule: ribosomal RNA, 253 nt
Filed under: uncultured bacterium
Lineage: Bacteria
Description: partial 16S ribosomal RNA
Rfam family: Bacterial small subunit ribosomal RNA
Source: RNAcentral
UACGGGGGGGGCAAGCGUUGUUCGGAAUUACUGGGCGUAAAGGGCGCGUAGGCGGUCUGCUAAGUUGGAUGUGAAAACUCUGGGCUUAACCCAGAGCCUGCAUUCAAUACUGACAGGCUAGAGUUCUGGAGGGGAUAGCGGAAUUCCUGGUGUAGCGGUGAAAUGCGUAGAUAUCAGGAAGAACACCCGUGGCGAAGGCGGCUCUCUGGUACGUGACUGACGCUGAGACGCGAAAGCGUGGGGAGCAAACAGG